Molecule: long non-coding RNA, 867 nt
Organism: Drosophila virilis
Lineage: Eukaryota; Metazoa; Arthropoda; Insecta; Diptera; Drosophilidae
Source: RefSeq, a predicted model, not a curated record
UUAGCGUGCCUAACGCCAAGCCCUUAGCAAAGCAAUAUGUAAGGGCUUGUCCGAUUCUAAAAAAAUUUGCCCAGGAAUAUGGGGCUCGCUGCCCAGGGGCUUUACGGGGAACGAUGCUUCGAAAGCAUUUAGCUACCUAUACAUCGAUGCUUAACGUCAAAGAUGUCCAAAUUGAUAGGCUUGCCAAUUUUAUGGAUCAUCAUAAAGAUAUACAUAAAGAAAUCUACAGAAUCCCUGUAUCAGUAGCGGAGAUAGCCGAAGUAUCCCAGAUGCUUAUGGCAGCUCUGGGAAAUAAUGUUGAGGAUGAAAACACAGUAGCCCUUGAUUAGUUAGAAGAAAGUAAGUACAUAGAUUCGUCAAGUUUGUGGGUGAUACUAAGAGUAGUUAUGGUGAAAAAUGUAAUAUCUUAACUUAACUAAUAAUUACUUGUCGGGCUUAUUGUGAAUGUUUUUACAUUGUACCUGAAAUCCAUUUUGCAGAUGAUCCUUUAGAGGAUUCGGAAUCAGAUUAUUCUGAACAGCGAUCAGAAAGCGACUUCAAUAUUUCCGAUGAUGAAAUUGUAGAAAAAUCUAAUAAAAAAGGAAAGCGUCCAAGUAGAUCAUCAUUUGGAAAACCAUAAGAAACCGUUGGUCGAAUGAAGAGCGUGAAGAAAUAUACCGGCCUUUUGGAGACCUGUUGUCUCUAAAAGGAUUGCCGUCGCUUAAGCAAUGCAACGCAGUUAUAAAUAAUUCUACAUAUCUAAAAUGUUCGACACCGGUGCAAGUAAAAACAUGGUAUCUAUCCAUCCAUCAGCGCAAGGGUAAAUCAAGAAAAUCAACUCCGCAAAUAGAUUAAAUAAUGAAUAUGUUGACCAUAUUUAGAACUAAA